Monodelphis domestica (gray short-tailed opossum) is the source of this 1960-nucleotide long non-coding RNA. RefSeq lists it as uncharacterized. The record is from RefSeq and is a predicted model, not a curated record. Lineage: Eukaryota; Metazoa; Chordata; Mammalia; Didelphimorphia; Didelphidae.
AUGGGGUGUUCAGGGAGGGGUAGUAUCUCUGGUAUGGAGGGCUUGUCGUGCCCUCCUAGGGCAGCUCUCCAGCCUCUGACCCUCACCUGACACCCAGCUCUCACUUGUGACUCCCAGUAGCUGCUAGCAUGCGGCAGCGGCCACACCCCGGGCAACGGCUUCGACAGGCAGGCUAAACCUUGUGAGGGUAGCCAUCGGGUUGUCGUGGACCCCUGGUGAACCAGGGCUUUGCUCACCCAGCAUGUGAAGACUGCUUCGGCGGAACAGGCGGAAGAAACCAACAAAAAGGUUCAACGGCUAAGAGGGCGACGCAGCAAAGCACUGUGGAGUGCUUAGGGCAUGUUGGAGCACAAAGGACAACACGGCCAUCCAAUGCAGCUGAGGAAGUCUCCAGCUGCCCUGAAAAGGACGAGCCGGCCACUCCAAUAGGAUCCCACUGAUGCUGUGAAAUCAGCCAGAGACCUUUGUAAGGGAAGAAUGUGGCUUCCAGCUGUCGAGCAAAGUCUGCAAGGAGAAACACAUUUCACUAGGAGGCUGUUCAAGCAAGAACACAAUAAUGGGCAUGAACAUAGCAUUUUGCUCAGCAAGUGAAUUCUGCCCCCUCCCUGCACUUUCUACCCUGAGAUACCAUGCAAAAAGUCCCUUUUCAUUCCCAAAUGUCUAGAACUAUGUUCCUGUAAAUACCAAGGAAUUAGAUGGAGAAAAGAGAGCAAGAAGGAUAUUGGGUGGCAAGAAGAAAAGGAAGAAUAAACUUGGAAGGGACCCAGAAAGGUGUCUCACAGGAAGUGGCACCUGAGCCAGGCCUUGCAGAGAACUAGGGAUUCCCAGAGAUAGAGAGAUAAAGAGGAAGAGCAUUCCUAGUAGGGGGAAAAGGUAGGGAGGUGGUAAAUGGAAUAUCAAAGUAGGAAAAAAGGAGUAGGGCAAUUUGGCUAAACUGUGGAUUGCAGGGUAGGUUAUAAGAGAAAGGGAAGGUGAGCUGGAGUCAGACUGUGAAUGACUCAAAUGUUAAACAAUAGAGUUUAUUUUUAUAUUUUUUAUAUUAUAUAUAUAUAAUAAAUAUAUAUUAUAUUUUUAUAAUGAUGAUUUAUAAUCAUCAUCAUUAUUAUUAUUAGGUCUUAGAGGUGGCUCACUGUAUUGAGAAUGAGAGCUGAAGAUGGGAAGUCUUGGCUUCAAAUGUAGCUGAAGACACUGCCUAGCUAUGUGGUCCUGGACAAGUCACGCAGCCCCCAUUGCCUAGCUCUUACAGCUCUUCUGCCUUGGAACUGCUAGUAUUGAUUCUAAGACAGAAGAAAAGUUUUAGAGAGCACCUGAUGCUUCUUAAGAAAGCUAGAGAACAGCAAACAGAGGAUUGGUGAUGGGAGGAGAUAGCCAGGAGCUGGACAGAGCCAAGGUGCCAGUGAUUACCCAGGAACCUUUGGGGCCUGGAGGAGGUCAUUCCAAGUUAAUCUAAUAGAAACAGGCACACAGUGACUCUCCCAGGUAAGGCUUGCCCAGAGAUCCAAGGGCAGGAGGAACAGGAAUAAGGUGCUGGACUGGCGGAGACCCACGAGAGAACUGAUUGGGUACAGUGGGUCCUGCCAAGGUAGGCACCUCCAUUGCCAGGAAGGACACACAGUGCCUUUGCCCACAGCUUCUAUCUGUCCCUCACAAACAGCCAAGCCAGUGCCUGAGGCAAUACUCAAAAAUGAGAAGCUUGUCUCUUCUCUUUUCCAGCUUCCCUUUUCUUAGCCAUUCCAUAGCCCUUUAGUGGUCUUGCUCCCUAUUCGAGCCCCCACAUCCUCCUCCUCUCAAACUGGGAAGGAUCAGCUGCCAUAGUGACAUUUGGACUGAAACUCCUCCUCCCAGAGUGCUAAUUUCAGCAGCACAAGCACUUGAAGCAUUUUCUAAUUAUAUAAUUAAAGGCUGGAUCUUCCUCAAAAUCAAGUGGAGAAGAGAAAUAAAGAUGCUCUGUCAAAAACAA